AACGAACGCUGGCGGCAGGCCUAACACAUGCAAGUCGAACGAGACCUUCGGGUCUAGUGGCUCACGGGUGCGUAACGCGGGGGAACCUGCCCUUAGGUUCGGAAUAACUCCCCGAAAGGGGUGCUAAUACCGGAUAAUGUCUUCGGACCAAAGAUUUAUCGCCUUUGGAUGGGCCCGCGUUGUAUUAGCUAGUUGGUAGGGUAAAAGCCUACGAAGGCGACGAUCCAUAGCUGGUCUGAGAGGAUGAUCAGCCACACUGGGACUGAGACACGGCCCAGACUCCUACGGGAGGCAGCAGUGGGGAAUAUUGGACAAUGGGCGAAAGCCUGAUCCAGCAAUGCCGCGUGAGUGAUGAAGGCCUUAGGGUUGUAAAGCUCUUUUACCCGGGAUGAUAAUGACAGUACCGGGAGAAUAAGCUCCGGCUAACUCCGUG
RNAcentral lists this ribosomal RNA (433 nucleotides) under uncultured bacterium. RNAcentral describes it as "partial 16S ribosomal RNA". It matches the Rfam family "Bacterial small subunit ribosomal RNA", at positions 29 to 507 of the family's 1533-position model. The record is from RNAcentral.